This 1134-nucleotide unclassified non-coding RNA is filed under the name Hevea brasiliensis (rubber tree). The record is from RNAcentral. Lineage: Eukaryota; Viridiplantae; Streptophyta; Magnoliopsida; Malpighiales; Euphorbiaceae.
CAAAAUUAACCCUAUUUUAGCCUUAAUUGUUGAUAUCUAAUUGUCUUAAAAAAAACUGUCUGGCAACCUCACAACUAUAAGAUAUAUUAAUUACCUUCCUUCUCAAACCUCUAAAUUGAAGCAAUAGAAAUUCCAUAAUGUGUUGGGGAAACUAAUUGCUCACCAAGUAAAGCAAAAAGCAUGUUUCUUAUCUCGUGUGAUUAAGCAAUGCAGAGUAAAGUUCCCAUCAAUUUCAUUACUCCAUAAAUAUAAAAGGCAAAUCAGGGGAUAAAACCUUGUAGGGCCUUCAAAUCUGUAACUGAUCAUGAGGUUGAUUCUAUGAAGCACCAUUAAACUGCCUUUCCCUUGAAGGGACUUUAGCAUUCCAUAUGAAAUUAGAAAGAGGGGGAAAAUCACAAUUUGGAACACGAACAAGAAAGUAUAGAAUCAGAAUUUGUGUCCUUGAAUUUUUUGUGGAACAAAGUGGUGUUUCAACUUUUAUGUGGAUUUAUGCUUCUGGAGCUUUUAGGGGAAUUUCCUUGAGCUGUUUUGUAACUUGGUUAGACUUAGCUUGUUUUUUAUGCUUUUGUGGUUGUCUAUUGAAUUUUGUACGAGGAUUCCUUGUCUUUUAAUUAAAUUUCUUCUCAUAAAAAGAAAAAAAGAGCCUCACAUUGCAUUGUAGGACACAAGAAGCAUAAUUUCUGGUAUUUUAUUCAUGGAAAAUCUUGUUAAUAAAGAACUACUAUUAUUUGUAGUUUUAAAUAACUUUAAACCUAUUAUCAUAUAACUCUAAAAAUUUAUAAUUAUUCAAACUCCAAACAAAGGUCCCUACUUUUUUUCAGCUACUAGACUAAUUAUGACUUUAUUAUAGACUUAAUUUAAGACCCAAAACAUUGCAACUUAGCUCAAUCCAGUAAGGCUAGAAAUUAUUAAAAUAUUCCAAAGUCUUAAAACCAAUGAUAAAUACUUAAUUCAACAACUAAUUGUUUGAAAUAAACAUAAAUACGAAACUAAAGUACAUCUUUACAACUGGAAAAGACUUUAUGAGAUCCCAAAACUAAUCUAGGCCAAAUAUAGGAAGUUUCUUGAUUUUUCUUCUUGUUUUUCAUGGAGCUUCUUUUUGGCUGCAUCAAGUGCCUGUCCAUACUAUUUCUU